GAUGAACGCUGGCGGCGUGCCUAAUACAUGCAAGUCGAGCGGACAGACGCGGCUCUUGCUGCUUUCACGAUAGCGGCGGAGGGGUGUGUCACAUGUGUAUAACGUCCCUGUCAGACUGGUAUCACUUGGGGACACCGGCGCUUAUCCCGUAGGAUCUCUUGCAGCGCGUGGUGGGUUAGUAAGAGUCGGUUUUUCUGGCUCUUCUCGAUGGAUCUCCGCCGCAUUAGCUGGUUGGUAGGGUAACGGGCUAGCAAGGGUACGAUGCGUAGCCGACCUGUGGGAGUGAUCGGCCACAUUAGAGGUGAGACACGCACCAGACUCCUAAGGGAGGCAGCAGUAGGGAAUGGUACGCAAUGGGCGAAAGCCUGACGGAGCAACGGCGCGCGAGUGAUGAAGGUGUUCGGUUCGGAAAACCGUGUUACUGGGGAUGAACAAAUGUGUAAGGAACUGUGGAGGGCGUGACGGUACCGGAUCAGGAAGCAACGGCUAACUACGUG
Molecule: ribosomal RNA, 497 nt
Filed under: uncultured bacterium
Lineage: Bacteria
Description: partial 16S ribosomal RNA
Rfam family: Bacterial small subunit ribosomal RNA
Source: RNAcentral